AUGACAGCAAAAGGAAUUGAUAAAUCCUCCAAGCUCACAGUCUCUACAUUGGGAAUCCAGGAAAUAUUUUGCUCAGGUUUGGAGAUGUCUCUUGAAACUGUAUUGCUAUCUAGAGGCAAGAGUUUCCUGUGCAUAUCCUCAUACCAAAGGAUAGCUCCCUCUCCAACUUUUACCAAGGAUUCAUUUCUCACUUGGCUGUUUUCACACACACACAAAAACCCCCAAACCCAAAAUGGCUCAGUGUCUUUGAGGAAGUUGCCGUGUCAACUCAAAUUAGGAAAAAAACAGGUCUCAUCAGGAUCUGACUAUCGGUGAUGUGUUGGCUCACCUCGUCCUCAAAGUGAACGAUUUUCUCCCAAACUUCAUCUUCUAGGAGCAAGAAUCCAACCUCAUGCCUGAAAAAAGUGGCAAACCUCUCAAUGUCACGGACCCCAGAGUCCAUCUUUGGUCACUAAAAACUCACGUCGCCUGAGGUCCAAUGUGUUCUUUUUAAGCAGCCUUGAAUCCUCUAUGGAUUGAGGUAAAGUAGGAUAAUAUUCAAUUAAGACACAAAUAAACAGAGAACAGGUGUGAACACUACCUGCUGAAAUUUUUUGUUCUAUUUUGUCACUUACAUACAUAUUUAACCACCUGUUGGAUUCCAUGACGUGUCUUUGAGUGAUGCUGAUGGGCUCUCUGACAUUUUCAUUCUCAUCAAUCUCAUGGCAAGUCAUAAACUCAUAAACAUGUUACACUUUUCCACAUUGUGCUCUAUUACAGUUCCCGAAAUGGGAAAAUAGAAGAUUUACAUAAAUCUUUCAGAAUAGUUGCACUUGACUUUGAAACAAUGCUUAGUUUCUGUUUCUUACAUUCUAUUUCAUCUGUAAAGAUCUGAGCUGGAAACACCUGCCCUUGCUAACUAAUUACAACUUCACCUAGGCUGCAAACUUACUCUUGCUUCUAACGCCUGGAAUUAACAGAGGAUUAGAUACCUGCCUUCUGCAAUCAUGCUUAAGGCUCCUUCACUGUCACCCGUUCUUAGUAAAGUCAGACAAAAGUGGAAGAAGAAAAGUACACAUUUUUAUUUAUUUAUUUAUUUUUUUACUACCACCUUCAUCAUUUUAGGAGAUAUCUUGCCUAAUUCACUUUAGCUUUCUUUUGACCCGGGAACUCAUGUGUUUCUUCAGUGAGACUGUCUUAGGUAUCAUUUAAGAAACACCCCCAAAUGCCUAAUGUAUACAUCAGUGUGAAUGAUGCAGACUUGUUAUCAUCCCUCCCAAGAUGCCAGUCUAUAUAUCUCUCUCUUAAACAUUUGGGAUUUAGCAAGGUUAUGCUGCAUGAUGUUCCCAAGGAGAAGUGCCCGUGACGUCUGCGAGUCUGAUAAAUGUUCUUAUCUGAUAUUGUUCCAUUUUCUGUUGGGAAAGUUCUAUCAGAUGAAACAAGACUGUGUAGACCCCCCCAUUCCCUUUCUC
RNAcentral lists this long non-coding RNA (1451 nucleotides) under Mustela putorius furo (domestic ferret). RNAcentral describes it as "lncRNA (ENSMPUG00000030259.1)". Lineage: Eukaryota; Metazoa; Chordata; Mammalia; Carnivora; Mustelidae. The record is from RNAcentral.